AAUAAACGACUCUCGGCAACGGAUAUCUCGGCUCUCGCAUCGAUGAAGAACGUAGCGAAAUGCGAUACUUGGUGUGAAUUGCAGAAUCCCGUGAACCAUCGAGUUUUUGAACGCAAGUUGCGCCCGAAGCCUUCGGGUGAGGGCACGUCUGCCUG
Molecule: ribosomal RNA, 155 nt
Filed under: Silene auriculata
Lineage: Eukaryota; Viridiplantae; Streptophyta; Magnoliopsida; Caryophyllales; Caryophyllaceae
Description: 5.8S ribosomal RNA
Rfam family: 5.8S ribosomal RNA
About the family: 5.8S ribosomal RNA (5.8S rRNA) is a component of the large subunit of the eukaryotic ribosome. It is transcribed by RNA polymerase I as part of the 45S precursor that also contains 18S and 28S rRNA.
Source: RNAcentral